GGAUAACUUACCCUUAGGACUGGGAUAACUCUGGGAAACUGGGGAUAAUACUGGAUAUUAGGCUAUGCCUGGAAUGGUUUGCCUUUGAAAUGUUUUUUCGCCUAAGGAUAGGUCUGCGGCUGAUUAGGUCGUUGGUGGGGUAAUGGCCCACCAAGCCGAUGAUCGGUACGGGUUGUGAGAGCAAGGGCCCGGAGAUGGAGCCUGAGACAAGGUUCCAGACCCUACGGGGUGCAGCAGGCGCGAAACCUCCGCAAUGUACGAAAGUGCGACGGGGGGAUCCCAAGUGUUAUGCUUUUUUGUAUGACUUUUCAUUAGUGUAAAAAGCUUUUAGAAUAAGAGCUGGGCAAGACCGGUGCCAGCCGCCGCGGUAACACCGGCAGCUCGAGUGGUAGCUGUUUUUAUUGGGCCUAAAGCGUUCGUAGCCGGUUUGAUAAGUCUUUGGUGAGAGCUUGUAGCUUAACUAUAAGAAUUGCUGGAGAUACUAUUAGACUUGAAGUCGGGAGAGGUUAGAGGUACUACCGGGGUAGGGGUGAAAUCCUAUAAUCCUGGGAGGACCACCUGUGGCGAAGGCGUCUAACUGGAACGAUCUUGACGGUGAGUAACGAAAGCCAGGGGCGCGAACCGGAUUAGAUACCCGGGUAGUCCUGGCCGUAAACGAUGUGGACUUGGUGUUGGAAUGGCUUUGAGUUGUUCCGGUGCCGAAAGGGAAGCUGUUAAGUCCACCGCCUGGGAAG
RNAcentral lists this ribosomal RNA (734 nucleotides) under uncultured archaeon. Its description in RNAcentral is "bacterial SSU rRNA". It matches the Rfam family "Archaeal small subunit ribosomal RNA", at positions 102 to 835 of the family's 1478-position model. The record is from RNAcentral.